GACGAACGCUGGCGGCGUGCUUAACACAUGCAAGUCGAACGCUGAAGCUCAGCUUUUGUUGGGUGGAUGAGUGGCGAACGGGUGAGUAACACGUGAGUAACCUGCCUCCUUCUUUGGGAUAACGCCCGGAAACGGGUGCUAAUACUGGAUAUUCACUGGUCUUCGCAUGGGGGUUGGUGGAAAGGGUUUUUCUGGUGGGGGAUGGGCUCGCGGCCUAUCAGCUUGUUGGUGGGGUGAUGGCCUACCAAGGCUUUGACGGGUAGCCGGCCUGAGAGGUGACCGGUCACAUUGGGACUGAGAUACGGCCCAGACUCCUACGGGAGGCAGCAGUGGGGAAUAUUGCACAAUGGGCGCAAGCCUGAUGCAGCGACGCCGCGUGAGGGAUGGAGGCCUUCGGGUUGUGAACCUCUUUCGCUCAUGGUCAAGCCGCAACAAUGGUUGUGGUGAGGGUAGUGGGUAAAGAAGCGCCGGCUAACUACGUG
RNAcentral lists this ribosomal RNA (482 nucleotides) under uncultured bacterium. RNAcentral describes it as "partial 16S ribosomal RNA". It matches the Rfam family "Bacterial small subunit ribosomal RNA", at positions 28 to 507 of the family's 1533-position model. The record is from RNAcentral.